GACGAAUGCUGGCGGCGUGCUUAACACAUGCAAGUCGAACGGAAAGGCCCUGCUUUUGUGGGGUGCUCGAGCGGCGAACGGGUGAGUAACACGUGAGUAACCUGCCCUUGGCUUUGGGAUAACUUCAGGAAACUGGGGCUAAUACCGGAUAGGAGCUCCUGCUGCAUGGUGGGGGUUGGAAAGUUUCGGCGGUUGGGGAUGGACUCGCGGCUUAUCAGCUUGUUGGUGGGGUAGUGGCUUACCAAGGCUUUGACGGGUAGCCGGCCUGAGAGGGUGACCGGCCACAUUGGGACUGAGAUACGGCCCAGACUCCUACGGGAGGCAGCAGUGGGGAAUAUUGCACAAUGGGCGGAAGCCUGAUGCAGCAACGCCGCGUGCGGGAUGACGGCCUUCGGGUUGUAAACCGCUUUCGCCUGUGACGAAGCGUGAGUGACGGUAAUGGGUAAAGAAGCACCGGCUAACUACGUG
This 468-nucleotide ribosomal RNA is filed under the name uncultured bacterium. RNAcentral's name for it is "partial 16S ribosomal RNA". It matches the Rfam family "Bacterial small subunit ribosomal RNA", at positions 28 to 507 of the family's 1533-position model. The record is from RNAcentral.